This 463-nucleotide ribosomal RNA is filed under the name uncultured bacterium. RNAcentral's name for it is "bacterial SSU rRNA". It matches the Rfam family "Bacterial small subunit ribosomal RNA", at positions 1 to 507 of the family's 1533-position model. The record is from RNAcentral.
CAGUAGUCACGUAGUUUGACUCCUGGCUCAGAACGACGCUGGCGGCAUGCCUAACACAUGCAAGUCGAACGAGACCUUCGGGUCUAGUGGCGNACGGGUGCGUAACGCGUGGGAAUCUGCCCUUAGGUUCGGAAUAACUUCGGGAAACUGAAGCUAAUACCGGAUGAUGACGUAAGUCCAAAGAUUUAUCGCCUAAGGAUGAGCCCGCGUUGGAUUAGCUAGUUGGUAAGGUAACGGCUUACCAAGGCUACGAUGGGUAGGGGUCCUGAGAGGGAGAUCCCCCACACUGGUACUGAGACACGGCCCAGACUCCUACGGGAGGCAGCAGUGGGGAAUAUUGGACAAUGGGCGAAAGCCUGAUCCAGCAAUGCCGCGUGAGUGAUGAAGGCCUUAGGGUUGUAAAGCUCUUUUACCCGGGAUGAUAAUGACAGUACCGGGAGAAUAAGCUCCGGCUAACUCCGUG